This is a long non-coding RNA of Sphaeramia orbicularis (orbiculate cardinalfish), 401 nucleotides long. RefSeq lists it as uncharacterized. The transcript is spliced from 2 exons. Lineage: Eukaryota; Metazoa; Chordata; Actinopteri; Kurtiformes; Apogonidae. The record is from RefSeq and is a predicted model, not a curated record.
GUCGUGAAAACCGUCCUGAACCCGACUGAAUUCCUGGUGUUUUUUAUUCUGUUUUUUGGACUCGAAGCCAAUUCAUCGGGUCGAACUUUGUGAAUCUGUUUAUGUAAACUUUCAGAACCAAGAGGAUCUUUAUGUUUGUUUUUUUGUUGUUGUUUUUUUCCAAUCGUAGCUUCAUUCUUUGCCUUUAAAACUGAAACAGGUGAGAUUCAAUGUUUCCAAAGACAGAAUUAAAGGAAAACUAAUGAAACCUGUAAAAAAACCUGAAGCAGCAGCAGUGGUUUCAGCCUCAGGUUUGAACCGCACACACAUUUACGUCCACUAGAGGGAGCGCACUGACGAUUUAUACGACUAUUAUUUAUUCUGUUGGAUUUCCAGUCGAAUAAACGUACGACAUCAGAGAU